AUGUAUUACCCAGCCCUCGUGGUACACUCUGUUCCAGGAAAGCAUGGUAGCAAUGCUCAUCAUCCCAUCCUUGAUGGAAGCACCGAGGGAAAUAUCUCCCAGCAUGAGACCUGCACUGGAAAUACUCACAUAAAGCCAGGUCCUCAAGAAAAUGGAGAGAAGAUUGGACCUUUCAGUGCCUCACACCUGAGCCAGACCCCAGUAAGAGUCACCCAGCAAAAGGAGGUUCCUCACAACUCACCAGCCCCUCAGCUCUGCAGGAGGGAAGCUCAGAAAUUGCUGGAGCUGUUGCUGUGGCUGGAAAUCACCAGGAGAGGAUGAGGUCUCAUGGGCAAGACCAGUGGCAGAACAAAAAACCCAAAGGGCAGAAAUGCCCUGCAAAAUCUUUUUGCUGGUAUUUUGUCUUUGAAGCUCAUCCCUGCAGGUAUUUUGCUAAAGCCAAAUUCACUGGUGUUGUCAUGAGGGUUUUUUCAGCCAUUCCUGCAGCAAACAUUGCUUACCUGGCAUCUGACCUCCUUUCGUACUGGUGAUUCUUAUCUCUGAGUUGAGCAAAGCUCAUGAAAUAUGAUUUCAUCUGCUAGGGAAGCAGGUAAGAAGGAUAAGAAGAGAUAAGAAGGAACUGGUUGGCCAGUGUGAGAUGCAAAGGAGAUUAGAGGACCUUUGCAUCACUCCUGUACAAACAAGGUGGCUGAUGAAGCCUGUGAGAAGCGAUGAUCAAGGCUCACCCCACAAUAUCUGGUGCAUCUGCAUUUUGAUGGGACUGAGUCUCUGGCUUUUUUUUCUUUCGUGUCUGUGUAUGUUUUGAUUAUACACAAAACACCAAAAUAAAAUCAACAAUUUAUACCCCGUUAUCUG
Molecule: long non-coding RNA, 855 nt
Filed under: Cyanistes caeruleus (blue tit)
Lineage: Eukaryota; Metazoa; Chordata; Aves; Passeriformes; Paridae
Description: lncRNA (ENSCCEG00000002827.1)
Source: RNAcentral